CCCGCGCAUUCUCCUUCCCCUAUCGCUCCCCAGUCCCCACCUCCCCUCCCCGAAUCGUCGCCGCCACCUCCUCCUCUCUCCCGGCGCCGCCGAUCCCCCAACGCCAGCUCGUCGUCGCGCUGAUCUCCCUCACAUCCGUCGCCAUCAGCGAUUGCCACCGAUUCCCCAGCGCCAGGUCGUCGUCGUCGCGGUGACCGAGCCCCCGACGGGGGGGUUCGCGCCGCCCGGGAGCAGGAGGAUCGUCGGGAUCGGGUCCGGGGUGGUCGCGUGGUACCUCGCCUCGAUGGCCCGUGCUGACCAAAGGCGUCGGCGCCGCCGCCAUCUUCAUCGUCAACGACCUCUGCUCUCAGUCAUAAAAUUUGAUGGAAUACCAAUGCCUGUUGCAACAGGGUAAUUUGCCCUCAAUCUGAGGUAUUGCCAUGAAUGGAUAUCCUGCUUAAUGGAUACUGCCGCCAGGAAGAUGUACAUCGCCCUACAGCCACCAAUUUCGAUCGUGUGUGUCUGCAUGGUGGUGAGGUCGUCAGAUCGGAACCCUAAACCCCAGGAAAGGGUUCAGAUCAAAUUUCUGAACUUCAAAUAGGGAAUUGUUUUUCCAUACUGUAAUCGAGUUAUACUGUUUUCUAACCAAAUUGC
RNAcentral lists this small RNA (633 nucleotides) under Oryza sativa Japonica Group (Japanese rice). RNAcentral describes it as "sRNA Os10g0540550". The record is from RNAcentral. Lineage: Eukaryota; Viridiplantae; Streptophyta; Magnoliopsida; Poales; Poaceae.